CCAAUGCAUGCUUUUACAGUAUGAAAAUUGGUGAUUUAUAAUAACUUAGCAAAUCGCAUAGUGAAAACAGGCGAUAAAUCAUUCAAGUUUCUGACCUAUCAGCUUUCGACGGUAUGGUAUUGGCUUACCGUGGCAGUGACGGUUAACGGGGGAUUAGGGUUCGAUUCCGGAGAGGGAGCCUGAGAAACGGCUACCACAUCUAAGGAAGGCAGCAGGCGCGCAAAUUACCCAAUUCUAACAGUUUGAGAGAGGUAGUAACAAGAAAUAACAAUACAAGGCAGUUAAAAUGCUUUGUAAUUGGAAUGAUAGAAAUUUAAACCCUUUUUAAAGUAUCAAUUGGAGGGCAAGUCUGGUGCCAGCAGCCGCGGUAAUUCCAGCUCCAAUAGCGUAUAUUAAAAUUGUUGCAGUUAAAAAGCUCGUAGUUGAAGUUCUGCUAAAAGUAACCGGUCUGCUUUGAAUAAAAGUGGUAUCUUGGUAUGUAUUUAGCAAUGAUGUCCUUUGAAGUGUUUUUUACUUUAUUGUAAUAAAGCAUAUUCAGGACUUUUACUUUGAGAAAAUUAGAGUGUUUCUAGCAGGCCAACGCUUUGAAUACUGCAGCAUGGAAUAAUAAG
Molecule: ribosomal RNA, 611 nt
Filed under: Hepatozoon canis
Lineage: Eukaryota; Apicomplexa; Hepatozoidae
Description: SSU rRNA
Rfam family: Eukaryotic small subunit ribosomal RNA
Source: RNAcentral